GAAAUGCGAUAAGUAAUGUGAAUUGCAUAAUUCAGUGAAUCAUCGAAUCUUUGAACGCACAUUGCGCCCGCCAGUAUUCUGGCGGGCAUGCCUGUCCGAGCGUCAUUUCAACCAUCAAGCCCCCGGGCUUGUGUUGGGGACCUGCGGCUGCCCGCAGGCCCUGAAAACCAGUGGCGGGCUCGCUGUCACACCGAGCGUAGUAGCAAUCACCUCGCUCAGGGCGUGCUGCGGGUUCCGGCCGUUAAACAGCCUUACAAAACCCAAGGUUGACCUCGGAUCAGGUAGGAAGACCCGCUGAACUUAAGC
This 306-nucleotide unclassified non-coding RNA is filed under the name plant metagenome. RNAcentral describes it as "partial contains 5.8S ribosomal RNA, internal transcribed spacer 2, and large subunit ribosomal RNA". The stretch from base 1 to 105 matches the Rfam family "5.8S ribosomal RNA", at positions 50 to 154 of the family's 154-position model. The record is from RNAcentral.